GUGCUCACUUCAGCAGCACAUGUACUAAAACUGUAACAACACAGAGAAGAUUAGCAAAGACUCUGUGUAUGGAUGAUGCCCAAAUUUGUGAAGCAUUCCAUACUUCC
Molecule: small nuclear RNA, 107 nt
Organism: Suricata suricatta (meerkat)
Lineage: Eukaryota; Metazoa; Chordata; Mammalia; Carnivora; Herpestidae
Source: Ensembl